UAUGUCUGUUUCUUCGCAUAUGUAUGAAGAAAUUUAACGGAUUUGAUACCUCUGCUUGAAUUAACUGUUGAAAGAUUUACUGAAAAGUCUAAUGAAAUUGUGAUUGAUUUCAGUUUGAAGUCGUCGUGAACCUGUGAUGAAGGUGUUCAUCCUACCUGAUCUUGCUUUCACGUUGUAAUUUUUAGUUUUUGGAUUCUGGUUGUUCGAAUGAUUAGAGAGUUCUUUGUUCAAAUUUGUGUAGCUUAAUGGGUCUUGGAGAGCUGGAUGCAGACGAUCAAUGGUCUAGUUAACGAAUAGCCCUGUGCCAUAAUGAUAACUUUAAUUUGAUUACAUCAUGAUCCUGCUUGUCUUUGAAAAUAGUCUUUGUUGGUGAAAUCAAGAAUGGACAGAAGGAGGAGGAUAUCAUAGUACUCAAGCUCUUCCACAUGCGAGUUUUGUUACACCUUCUGGAGGCUGUUGGACUCAGGUAAGCUCAAAAUUUAUUGCUAUCUUACCUCUGUAGUCUCUGCAACCAUAUUUCUGCAUAAUCUGGCUUUCAUGAAGCAGUUGUUUAAAGGGUUCGGAAUAAAUGGCUAGCAAAAUGCUGAGCCAAGGAUUGCGCUGUUAAAACUUAG
Long non-coding RNA from Neltuma alba, 614 nucleotides. RefSeq lists it as uncharacterized. The record is from RefSeq and is a predicted model, not a curated record. The transcript has 2 exons. NCBI's taxonomy places the organism in Eukaryota, Viridiplantae, Streptophyta, Magnoliopsida, Fabales, Fabaceae.